This 494-nucleotide ribosomal RNA is filed under the name uncultured bacterium. Its description in RNAcentral is "partial 16S ribosomal RNA". It matches the Rfam family "Bacterial small subunit ribosomal RNA", at positions 28 to 506 of the family's 1533-position model. The record is from RNAcentral.
GACGAACGCUGGCGGCGUGCCUAAUACAUGCAAGUAGAACGCUGAAGGAGGAGCUUGCUUCUCUGGAUGAGUUGCGAACGGGUGAGUAACGCGUAGGUAACCUGCCUGGUAGCGGGGGAUAACUAUUGGAAACGAUAGCUAAUACCGCAUAAUAUUGACUAUUGCAUGAUAGUCAGUUGAAAGGUGCAACUGCACCACUACCAGAUGGACCUGCGUUGUAUUAGCUAGUUGGUGGGGUAACGGCUCACCAAGGCGACGAUACAUAGCCGACCUGAGAGGGGGACGGGCCACACGGGGACGGGAACACGGCCCAGACUCCUGCGGGGGGCAGCGGAGGGGAACCUUCGGCAAGGGACGGAAUUCUGACCGGGCAACCCCGGGUGAGUGAAGAAGGUUUUCGGAUCGUAAAGCUCUGUUGUAAGGGAAAAACGGGGGUGAGGGUGGAAAGCCCACACUGUGGCGGUAUUUUACCAAAAAGGGACGGCUAACUACGU